RNAcentral lists this ribosomal RNA (987 nucleotides) under Triticum aestivum (bread wheat). RNAcentral describes it as "partial small subunit ribosomal RNA". Lineage: Eukaryota; Viridiplantae; Streptophyta; Magnoliopsida; Poales; Poaceae. The record is from RNAcentral.
AUGUUGCUCCAUUUCCUUAACCUGUCUGGGAAUUCCCUAUCUAGCCAUAUUUCCUAUCCCUUCUUCAACAUAUCAAGUCUGAUUGCUUUGGAUAUCAGAAACAAUCAGUUUGCAGGCAACCUCCAUUGGAUACGUUAUCUUGAUAACAUUAGGCUGCUUUCCUUGGGCAGAAAUAAGUUUGAAGGGCAGGUCACUCCAAACUUGUGUGAACUCUUGCACUUGAGGAUAAUCGACUUGUCUCAUAACAAGCUUUCAGGUUUGUUACCCUCAUGUAUUGGUAAUUUCUUUUUCGAAGGUGACAGGGACGAUCAAAUUUUCGAGGUAGUAUUACAGAGUUUAUCGUACCGACCAGCUGUCAAUCUUCAUAACUUGAGAGGUUUCAGCUUUACUACCAAACCAAGUCUUUAUGACUUGAGGGGCUUUAGCUUUACUACCAAAGGGAAUCUGUACACAUAUGGUCAAAGUUUCUUCGUUUCAAUGUCCGGCAUUGACCUAUCUGCGAAUAUGCUGCAUGGAGAAAUUCCUUGGGAGCUAGGAAAUAUGAGCCAUAUAAAAUCUCUUAACCUGUCAUACAAUUCCUUUGUUGGCCCGAUCCCGAUGACCUUUGGCGGCAUGGAGGAGAUAGAAAGUUUGGACCUCUCACACAAUGAGCUGAGUGGACCAGUACCUUGGCAGCUAACGCGGUUAUGUUCAUUGGGGGUGUUCUCUGUGGCAUGCAACAACUUGUCAGGAUGCGUACCGAACUCUGGUCAGCUUGGCUCAUUCGGCAUGGACAGCUACCUAGCCAACACCAACCUCCACAUGAUUACACAGGGGAACAUGUGCACUCCUGGUCCAGAUCCCGUGGCGGAGGAAGAUCUGGGUGAGAUGUCUGGUGACCCAAUCCUAUACAUGGUCAUGGCUGCCGGGUUUAUUUUGGCAUUCUGGGCCACUGUUUCUUUUUCAUUAUUCCAUCCGUACGGGAGGUCUGUAAUGUUCAAGCUGUAG